Molecule: long non-coding RNA, 1235 nt
Filed under: Capsicum annuum
Lineage: Eukaryota; Viridiplantae; Streptophyta; Magnoliopsida; Solanales; Solanaceae
Description: long non-coding RNA (CANN_LNC013834)
Source: RNAcentral
UGAUAUAGGCGCGUAAUUUCGCCUAUCAUCAACACCCCACACUUAGAGCUUUGUUCGUCCUCGAACAACAUAUCAUGUCCUUCUAAGCAUUGACUUAAGGUUUUUACAGAAACAACACAAAACAUUCUUCAAGACAAGCACAACAAUUAUCAACGAAGAGUAGCUUUCCGAUUAUAAGUAGAAACAAUUUAACCUCAAGCAUAGACUCGUGAUGGUGAUCAACUCGCAUGCAAACGUUUAAGGUACAUAGAAUCAUAUACAACUAUCCAAAACUCAUCGACCAUGUGUGUCUCACAAUAUAGUACCCAUAAUCACUCACAAGUAUAGCAUAUUUUUCAAACAUGGGCAGCAAAGUAUCCUUGCGCUCACUCUCACAAAGAAUUCAUAUGUAGCAGCUAAUGACCAUAGGCUUGCCCUUAAUGUAGUACUCCACUAAAUGUCGGAAUGUUAAGGUUAGGAUCAAGUAGGUCUUUUGAUGGUUGUAAUGUAGGCUAAGGGACGGGUAGGAUCAACUAUUUUGGCCAGAAAUAGUGACUAAGUUCCUAAGCACUUUAAUACAUCACAUUGUAUUAUUGACACUUUUUUUCUCCUCUUUUGUUUUUCAAUUUUAAAGCACAACUCACUUUUCAGCUUUCUUUUCCUUUUUCUUCUCACAACAUACCUCUUAUGAUAGCACUUUCUUUUUCAUAACAUAUUCAAGCACCAUUACAAUUUAAAGCAUCAUACUCAACCAAUUUCCUCUUAUGUUGUCACAUGACUUUUUCACUUUAAAGCACUUAGGAAUUUGGAUCAAAUUACGGUCUUGAAAAAAAAUGAAUUAGGCUUACAUACAAGGUUGUCAAAGAAAUAGGCUAAAGGCUCAAAAGGGUUUAACUAGGAUGAUGUCCAUGGGUAGGUAAAACUGAAGGUAAACAAAUAUAGGUUGCCAAAGAAAUGCCUAAAUCAUAUCCUAAACUUACACUCCUUAUUUUCGCUUUGCAUACAUACCAGGCAAGUUCUAGCAUCAGCCACAUACAUAGAAUAUACUAUUAUCUCACACACACAAGGCACAUGGUCGACUUGAUUGGUAGCAAUAUAGACUCUCAACCCAACAAGUGAAGGAAUUGAAUCACACACUAUCACAUAAUGAGUCACAACUAGAGCCUAAAUGUCUCAAUAGUCACAAUUGUAAUACAUACUAUUGUUAUAAUCUCAUGCUGCCUAUUAAAAUAAUUUCAUGCGAGGCUAGAAAAAUU